GAUGAACGCUGGCGGCGUGCCUAAUACAUGCAAGUCGAGCGAAUGGAUUAAGAGCUUGCUCUUAUGAAGUUAGCGGCGGACGGGUGAGUAACACGUGGGUAACCUGCCCAUAAGACUGGGAUAACUCCGGGAAACCGGGGCUAAUACCGGAUAACAUUUUGAACCGCAUGGUUCAAAAUUGAAAGGCGGCUUCGGCUGUCACUUAUGGAUGGACCCGCGUCGCAUUAGCUAGUUGGUGAGGUAACGGCUCACCAAGGCAACGAUGCGUAGCCGACCUGAGAGGGUGAUCGGCCACACUGGGACUGAGACACGGCCCAGACUCCUACGGGAGGCAGCAGUAGGGAAUCUUCCGCAAUGGACGAAAGUCUGACGGAGCAGCGCCGCGUGAGUGAUGAAGGCUUUCGGGUCGUAAAACUCUGUUGUUAGGGAAGAACAAGUGCUAGUUGAAUAAGCUGACACCUUGACGGUACCUAACCAGAAAGCCACGGCUAACUACGUGCCAGCAGCCGCGGUAA
RNAcentral lists this ribosomal RNA (515 nucleotides) under uncultured bacterium. RNAcentral's name for it is "partial 16S ribosomal RNA". It matches the Rfam family "Bacterial small subunit ribosomal RNA", at positions 28 to 523 of the family's 1533-position model. The record is from RNAcentral.